GCAUUGUGGAAAAUCCUGCGACGGCCACAUUCCAAGUGACCUCAUUGAACUUCAAACCUUGCUCUUGCAUCAUGACGCGAAUCUUGUCGACGGCGUUGGGGUGUCGAUUGCGGACAAACGCGGUAAGGAGAAUGGUCCACGUCUGAACGGUCGGUUUAACUUGCUUGAUUUGGCGGUUGCUUUGAGAUCGCAGAAUUGCAGUGGGAGGAAGUGGUUGUAGCAUCGUAUCCAGUACCCUGACGCAGUUUUUUAGCCGACCCGAACGCCGCUGCGCAAACUCCUGGAGAAACACGUUAAAUAUAUAGUCACUUUCCGCCAGCGGUCCGAAAGACUCAUGCCCUUGGUCGCGAAGGUAUAGAAAACGAUCGAACAUGUUAUUGAUUUGACGAACGCUCUGAAUCCUCAGAAACGCAGAAAUCAUGAUAACAAGAGAAUGGCUG
This 440-nucleotide small RNA is filed under the name Histoplasma capsulatum var. duboisii H88. Its description in RNAcentral is "Histoplasma capsulatum H88 hypothetical RNA". Lineage: Eukaryota; Fungi; Ascomycota; Eurotiomycetes; Onygenales; Ajellomycetaceae. The record is from RNAcentral.